UACGUAGGGGGCAAGCGUUGUCCGGAAUCAUUGGGCUUAAAGGGCGCGUAGGCGGCGGCGUAAGUUCGUGGUGAAAUCCCAUCGGCUCAACCGUGGAAUUGCUUCGAAUACUGCGUCGCUCGAGGGAGAUAGGGGACCGCAGAACUGCCGGUGGAGCGGUGAAAUGUGUCGAUAUCGGCGGGAAUGCCAGUGCCGAAAGGGGCGGUCUGGACCUCUUCUGACGCUGAGGCGCGAAAGCUAGGGGAGCGAACGGG
This 254-nucleotide ribosomal RNA is filed under the name uncultured bacterium. RNAcentral describes it as "partial 16S ribosomal RNA". It matches the Rfam family "Bacterial small subunit ribosomal RNA", at positions 524 to 776 of the family's 1533-position model. The record is from RNAcentral.